UGGCGAUGAUGAUAAAACUUUGGCAUGUUUCUCAAAACAUUCGCAGUUGCCGCCUAAGAGCUUUCGCCCUGCCAGGCUUGAGAGCUAAUGCUGCUAAUUCCUUCCUUGGAUGUCUGAGCCA
Non-coding RNA from Triticum aestivum (bread wheat), 121 nucleotides. Lineage: Eukaryota; Viridiplantae; Streptophyta; Magnoliopsida; Poales; Poaceae. The record is from Rfam.